This 512-nucleotide ribosomal RNA is filed under the name uncultured bacterium. Its description in RNAcentral is "bacterial SSU rRNA". It matches the Rfam family "Bacterial small subunit ribosomal RNA", at positions 32 to 519 of the family's 1533-position model. The record is from RNAcentral.
AAUCAACGCUGGCGGCGUGCCUCAGACAUGCAAGUCGAACGCGAAAGUCCCCUUCGGGGGACAAGUAGAGUGGCGCACGGGUGAGUAACACGUAGGUAAUCUACCUUUGGAUGGGGAAUAACAACCGGAAACGGUUGCUAAUACCGCAUAAUGCAGCGGCACCUAAUGGUGACAGUUGUUAAAGCGGGGGAUCGAAAGACCUCGCGUCUGAAGAGGAGCCUGCGGCGGAUUAGCUAGUUGGUAAGGUAACGGCUUACCAAGGCGACGAUCCGUAGCCGGCCUGAGAGGGCGGUCGGCCACACUGACACUGACAUACGGGUCAGACUCCUACGGGAGGCAGCAGUCGGGAAUUUUGGGCAAUGGGCGAAAGCCUGACCCAGCAACGCCGCGUGAAGGAUGAAGCAUUUCGGUGUGUAAACUUCACAAGAAUGGGAAGAAUAAGUGUGGGAUAAUACCCUUCACGAUGACGGUACCAUUUGUAAGCUCCGGCUAACUCCGUGCCAGCAGCCGCC